AGUGAACGCUGGCGGUAGGCCUAACACAUGCAGGUCGAACGGCAGCACAGUAAGAGCUUGCUCUUACGGGUGGCGAGUGGCGGACGGGUGAGGAAUACAUCGGAAUCUACUUUUUCGUGGGGGAUAACGUAGGGAAACUUACGCUAAUACCGCAUACGACCUACGGGUGAAAGCAGGGGAUCUUCGGACCUUGCGCGAUUGAAUGAGCCGAUGUCGGAUUAGCUAGCUGGCGGGGUAAAGGCCCACCAAGGCGACGAUCCGUAGCUGGUCUGAGAGGAUGAUCAGCCACACUGGAACUGAGACACGGUCCAGACUCCUACGGGAGGCAGCAGUGGGGAAUAUUGGACAAUGGGCGCAAGCCUGAUCCAGCCAUACCGCGUGGGUGAAGAAGGCCUUCGGGUUGUAAAGCCCUUUUGUUGGGAAAGAAAAGCAGCAGGUUAAUACCCCGCUGUUCUGACGGUACCCAAAGAAUAAGCACCGGCUAACUUCGUG
Molecule: ribosomal RNA, 492 nt
Filed under: uncultured bacterium
Lineage: Bacteria
Description: partial 16S ribosomal RNA
Rfam family: Bacterial small subunit ribosomal RNA
Source: RNAcentral